RNAcentral lists this non-coding RNA (102 nucleotides) under human gut metagenome. RNAcentral's name for it is "FMN riboswitch (RFN element)". It matches the Rfam family "FMN riboswitch aptamer (RFN element)". From Rfam's summary of the family: The RFN element is a highly conserved domain that is found frequently in the 5'-untranslated regions of prokaryotic mRNAs that encode for flavin mononucleotide (FMN) biosynthesis and transport proteins. This element is a metabolite-dependent riboswitch that directly binds FMN in the absence of proteins. The record is from RNAcentral.
CUUCAGGGUUCGGUGAAAUUCCGUACCGGCGGUAAAGCCCGCGAGCAUAUGCUGAUUUGGUGAAAUUCCAAAGCCGACAGUUAAAGUCUGGAUGAAAGAAGU